RNAcentral lists this transfer RNA (71 nucleotides) under Loxodonta africana (African savanna elephant). Its description in RNAcentral is "tRNA-Arg (TCT) (tRNA-Arg-TCT-17-1)". It matches the Rfam family "tRNA". Rfam says of the family: Transfer RNA (tRNA) molecules are approximately 80 nucleotides in length. Their secondary structure includes four short double-helical elements and three loops (D, anti-codon, and T loops). Further hydrogen bonds mediate the characteristic L-shaped molecular structure. tRNAs have two regions of fundamental functional importance: the anti-codon, which is responsible for specific mRNA codon recognition, and the 3' end, to which the tRNAs corresponding amino acid is attached (by aminoacyl-tRNA synthetases). tRNAs cope with the degeneracy of the genetic code in two manners: having more than one tRNA (with a specific anti-codon) for a particular amino acid; and 'wobble' base-pairing, i.e. permitting non-standard base-pairing at the 3rd anti-codon position. The record is from Rfam by way of RNAcentral. Lineage: Eukaryota; Metazoa; Chordata; Mammalia; Proboscidea; Elephantidae.
GCAUUGGUGGUUCAGUGGUAGAAUUCUUGCCCUCUAUGCAGGAGACCUGGGUUUGAUUCCCAGCCGAUACA